Malus domestica (apple) is the source of this 510-nucleotide non-coding RNA. The record is from RefSeq and is a predicted model, not a curated record. Lineage: Eukaryota; Viridiplantae; Streptophyta; Magnoliopsida; Rosales; Rosaceae.
AUGGUUGAGGCUUUAGUGUGUACUAGUGAUUGGCUUAGAGGAAAAGAAUUUUGUUUCUACAAGGAGCCUACCCUUGACGAAUUAUGUUUCUAUGAGGAGCUUGAACGCUUAGAAAGAAACAUGGCUAAUUUGGGAGGUGAGGAGAAUACAACACAAGAAAAUGAAAUGCCACCUCCACCUCCUCGACCACCUCAAGUACAAGUUCAACAACGUCAAAAUCAAUCACUACCUCCACGACCACGACCACCCAUUGUAAGGGGAAGGGCUCAACCAUCAACAUCAAGGGGAAAAUUACAAGUGCCAACAAGAAGGGGCCGAAGGGGCCGAAGAGGUCAACAAUCUUCAUAAACUUGAAACUUUUGAGUGUUACAAGUUUGAGGAAGAAUCGCCCAAGUAAUCCUCCUCUCAUUCUUUUUUUCGUUUUGUUUUUCUGUAAAAUAUGUUAACUAUGAAAUUGUUUGUAAGUGUGCAAGUAGCUACUCAACUUAGUCAAAAUUUAAUUUGGCAGUU